RNAcentral lists this long non-coding RNA (337 nucleotides) under Trifolium pratense (red clover). RNAcentral describes it as "long non-coding RNA (TPRA_LNC005293)". The record is from RNAcentral. Lineage: Eukaryota; Viridiplantae; Streptophyta; Magnoliopsida; Fabales; Fabaceae.
AAAAGAAUGAUGGCUUGAAAUUUUUUUAACAUAAAAUAGAGAUUUAAAGUUAAUUUUUAUCACAAAAAUAUUUAAUUUUACUAAAAUGGACCAAAGUAUAUACUUAACACAAGAGAUGAGAAAAAUGUUAUUGAAACUUCUUUGAAAACCCGGGAGUAUAUAAUUUACUAAAAUAAAUAUAAGUGAGACAAAUCAUAAGAGCAACAACAUAAUUUUUUGGUAAAUUACAGGUAUCAUCCGUGCGCAACUGCGAAAACUAAUCCGCUCGAGAUAGCAGCAACCUAAUUUUAUUUUUAUUUUAAUUAAAUUUUACUGCUUUGUACAUAAGUAUACAUUC